UUCAUGUUUUUCAGGUGGCAUCAAGUAUUCUUCUCCCCUACAUAUACUCUGAAGGAACCAGACAAAUGUUCUUCCCUCUAACUGUGCCAGCAUAUUAUAGAACUCCCCCUGAAAAUAAGGACAAAAAAAACUUCAUGCAUUAAUUAGCAGUAUUUGUUGGAACAAUUCUAUGUUCAUAACAAAAUCUCAUAUAUCUGUUACUUGCAUUCUUUAUUAGGCUGGAUAAUCUUUUGUGUUCGUGCUAUUUAUAUGUGUGAUGUUUAAAAUGGUAAAUAAAUGAGUUAGCCUUUGCAUGACUGAAAAACUAGCUAUAAUGUCUUUAGGUGCUUUGCUGGUGCAGUCCAGGUGAAUUUGUAGCACUUUUAUAAGAGAUUUAUUUUCAAUAAAUUUAUAUUGCCGAGUAAACAAAAAUGAGUCAGCUUUCUCUACUUAGUAUAUUCAUACAUAGAAAUCCCUAAAUUAUACAAAUAUUUUUCGAGCAUAAGAGCACUGACUCUAGGUUGAUUAAUUAAAAUUUCUUUCUAAUUAAAACUCAUAUUAUCACAUUAAUUGAUAAACCAUAAAAGUAACAUGUUUUUAAUCCCAUUUUUGACUCGUUUUUGGAUGAUUUAUUAUGUAAAUUAGUGAAUUUGAUGCCCCUAAUCCUUUAAAUUCGUGUUUCUAUACUUAGGUGAGUGUAAGGCCCAAAUUUUGCCUGAGGCCCAAUAAAACCAAACCUAAUUUCAACCUUAGCCCGAGCCCAAAUCAAAAAAAAAUCCAAAAAAAAUAAUAAAACAGUCCAAUUAAUAAUACAUGGCCCAAAUUAAAACUCCCAUCAGCCCACAACCUAAACUAACCCUACCAGCCCACUAUCUCAAAAAUUUUCAGCAGACUACAAAUUCAACCCCCACGUCAGCACUCCAGACAGGAUCCCCGUAUACCCCGCUCCAUGUUUUUGCCAAUGUUUCACGCCCCUCGUUCUCCACAACUUCAACACCUGCAAUUGGAGCAAAGAAAUAGGUAGAAAAUGUAUGGUUUUUGGCUAUAAAACCUUCAAUUUUUCAUAGUAAAAGGGAGGAUCCAAAAAUUGUAUCACUCGUGUAUUUUUCAAGAAAUCAAACAAAAAACACACAGAAGGUUGAUCUCCGAUUUUGUUCUCUUUAUUUUCGUUUUUCGUUUUCUUGCUUCUUUAAUAUUUCUUUUAUUUUUUAUACAAAUCUAUUAAACAAAGAUACAAAAAAGAAAAAAAAAAGGAAAGAGGAAGGAUUCUCACCAGAUCCGGCCCCGUCGCCGCGUUAUAGGAGCCUUCCCCUCCGUUCGGCAUGGUUGAGUCUAAAAAGGGGGUUGAACCCUUGUCUUUUCGUUUUUGGAACUAGCCUCCAACAAGUAAAAAAGGGGAGAGCUAAAGGAGCCCAUUUUGGUGUAUCGCCGGCCACCGAGUGUGGUGGUGGCGCGGCGGUUGAAGGGCGGCAAUGAUGAGUUUUUUUGAAACCCUGGCAGAAAAUAAAAGAGAAGGGAAAGGGGGAGAGAGUAGGGAAGCUCUCUAUUCUUUUUGUUUAAAGUUAGGGGAAGG
RNAcentral lists this long non-coding RNA (1552 nucleotides) under Gossypium barbadense (sea-island cotton). Its description in RNAcentral is "long non-coding RNA (GBAR_LNC003509)". The record is from RNAcentral. Lineage: Eukaryota; Viridiplantae; Streptophyta; Magnoliopsida; Malvales; Malvaceae.